RNAcentral lists this small nuclear RNA (144 nucleotides) under Sphenodon punctatus (tuatara). RNAcentral describes it as "U4 spliceosomal RNA (ENSSPUG00000009784.1)". It matches the Rfam family "U4 spliceosomal RNA". Rfam says of the family: U4 small nuclear RNA (U4 snRNA) is a component of the major U2-dependent spliceosome. The structure of U4 snRNA from yeast and human has been reported. U4 snRNA presents a k-turn RNA motif in the 5p-SL related to recognition of Snu13 protein. Lineage: Eukaryota; Metazoa; Chordata; Lepidosauria; Sphenodontia; Sphenodontidae. The record is from Rfam by way of RNAcentral.
AGCUUUGCGCAGUGGCAAUAGCAUAACCUGUGAAGUGAAACUGAGGUGCGAUUAUUGCUAAUUGAAAACUAUUCCUAAUAUCCUGCUUCAUAGAGCCUGCUUGAAAGAGUCUGCGUUAGCAAUUUUUUACAGCUUCUUUGGGGG